Molecule: long non-coding RNA, 418 nt
Filed under: Rattus norvegicus (Norway rat)
Lineage: Eukaryota; Metazoa; Chordata; Mammalia; Rodentia; Muridae
Description: long non-coding RNA NONRATT024997
Source: RNAcentral
UUUUAACUUGGGAAGAUUUUGAACUAGUAAAUCCACACAGAGCCAGAUUUUUAAAAGAAAUUAAAGACCUUGCUAUUAAGAGGCGCCAGAUUUUAGGCAAUAAAAGCCUUUCCGAAGAUGAGAAGAACACAAAGUUACAGGAACUAGUACUCAAGAACCCAUCAGGUUCUGGACCUCCACUUAGCAUAGAGGACUUAGGGUAAGAUUUUUGUAUGCAUUCUUCAACCUAACAAAUGAGGAAGGUUACAGGUUUCUGUUUCUCUGUCCCUGUGGAUCUGUAGUCUGUCAGCAAAGUCUAUAGUCUAUAGAAAAUGAUGCUUUUCUGUUUGAACCAUUGGUUUAUUGUUAUUAUAAAAGAUAGCGUUAUGUCAGGUGUAUGCAUGGCUUAGUUGGUAUUGAGCUUUCCUAGGUCCAUAAA